UAUAUUAAAAAUACCGAAUUUAAGAAUGACGCCAAAUAGCAAAAUUGCGUCAUAGCCUGCGACACAGAACAGGUGAGUUAUAAACAAACAGAUGUGUGAGUGAUGAGCCAUGGAUUCAAAAUGCAAAAAGAGAAAGAUUGCUGAUGAGAACAGAGGCUUUAAGAAAGAAUGGACUGAACUAUUUGCUUUCAUUGCCAAUGCUGAAGCAUUGCCUGCAUGUUUGAUUUGCAAUGAGAAGUCAAAUAACAGGAGCAAUUUGGAGCGACAUUUUCAGCUAAAGCAUGCUAAAUUUGCUGCCGAUCACGCAGUUGGAACUGAGAGGAAAGGUGCAAUUGCAGGGCUGGUGGAGAAACUUGAGGACCGAAAAACAGUUUCAAGAAGUGGAUUGCAUUUCCAAACUCUACUACUGCUGCAAGUUUUGUUGCAGCCCCGGAGAUAAUAAAGCGCGGAAAACCAUUCACCGAUGGCAAGUACAUGAAGGAUUCAUUCAUUAAAAUAUCAGCGCCUAUUUUCGGACUUCAAAAACAAAACCGAGAUCAUUCAGAAAAUUAAAGACAUGCUUCUCCGCACAAAUAAUAUAACCGAUCAGCAGAUCAAGGACAUCAAUUCAGCUCCAACUUUCUCAAUUGCCUGUGAUGGAUGAGUCGUGUGACGUGACCGAUAUCGAACAGACAGCGCUGCUAUACAGGACGGGGAUACCUCUGUCCAAACGGAGUGGUUGUUUCCAGCUGUGACAUCUGCUUUGAGCAGGAAUGACUGGGCAGCAGUGAGAAGUAGCCUUGCAGGGAUGAGUGAGCUCACCUGUCUGUGCAAUGCAGCCACUCAAGUUUACAGCUUCCGUGCCUGCGGCGUGGACCACCAGAGCAUGUUGGAGCAUGCCCACUGGUGAGUACGAACAACAUACACUAACCCUGCCUUGUGCUAUACUUCAGGACAAAGACCGUUCUGUAUCAACUGGUUCAUUAUCUUUGUUUAGCUUCUUCCUGACUACAGAAGAAGUGAGGGGAUAAAAACUGCACAUCAACACGUGCAUCUUAGAAACCAAUAAGACCCUGCCAUCGCCUAUUUAAGCAUGACUGUCACCACAUCCUUUCCGGUUCACCAAGAUUGCCUCACAGCUUCAUGCACCUCGGUAACAAGUCUCCCUACGAGCCUCCUCUCACCUACAAAAGUCAAGUCAGGCUGACAGCUUCCUGUUGCAAGAUUGAGCUUGUGGUCAUGCCGUGGAGGAGCCCCUGCCGUGGAGUCCCUGCUCGACAUCCUGCUCCCAUCAGUCAAUCUAACAAAAUCACUCCAUUGUUUCUUUAUCAUUUUAAUGUCUUUAUUUAUCAUUUAAAGCAGUGGUCUCCAACCUUUUUUGCGCCACGGA
This is a long non-coding RNA of Syngnathus acus (greater pipefish), 1369 nucleotides long. RefSeq lists it as uncharacterized. The record is from RefSeq and is a predicted model, not a curated record. The transcript is spliced from 4 exons. Lineage: Eukaryota; Metazoa; Chordata; Actinopteri; Syngnathiformes; Syngnathidae.